Molecule: long non-coding RNA, 2604 nt
Filed under: Daucus carota (carrot)
Lineage: Eukaryota; Viridiplantae; Streptophyta; Magnoliopsida; Apiales; Apiaceae
Description: long non-coding RNA (DCAR_LNC002412)
Source: RNAcentral
UUAAAUAAAUGAUUUUAGUUAAAUGAUUUAUGUACAAAUGUGAGAUCACAUUAUUAUUAAUGUGAGCGAAAUCAAUUAAAAAUCAAUAAUUAAGAUUGGAUACCUAAAUUUUUCUAAAAAUAUAAAAAAGUAUGAUAUUGAAUAUCCAAAAAUAACAUAAAAACGUAAAAGUAGGAGGGGCAGUGAUGAUGAAAACACAAUUUAUACUUCGUCUGUUUUGUUUUAUAGGUAUUUUAGAAAAUGUUGUUUAUUAUUUUUUUUUUUUGUCAGGAUCUACAUACUCGUAGAUGAGUUGUAUCAUAGAUACAAUAGCCGCAUCAGGGAUUACUUUCAUACAAUAAAGUUUAUCAUCUAACCGAAAGAUACGCAAAGAUAUCUCCGGACGUUUAGAUAAUAAGACUUUAAAGUCUGAUAAGAAAACCCGUAAGGUCUCUCUCCAAGAUCCUGAAAAACAAACCAAGCAAAAACAAACAUAAGAAUGAUAAAUUAAAGAAAAAAGUAUUUUGGAGAAAAUAAACCCAAUUAUGACAUAUAAAUCCUGACAAAAAUAAAUAUAAUAAUAUAACAUCUUAUUCAAAAAUAAAAAUUUUAGAACUAAUAAAAAUACGAUACAAAUAUGAAAAGUGAUAAUGUCUAACCAAAGUAAGAACUUUGGUUAGACACGCAAUAUAAAGAAAUCGUAAUACAUAUUAAUAUUUUCUUGUGGGAACAAAAAAACAAAAACAAAAAUUAAAGAUUUUUGUUAGGAAAAGAGGGAAGUUACAAAUUAAAUCAUAUUUAUAUCCCGAUCAACGUAAAUUAAUUAUUUAAUAAUCCAAUUAGUCAAUAAAAGGGUUAUCAUAACAUCACAAAGUAUAAGAAUUAAGAAAUUCAAAUUAUUAAUCCAAGAACAAAAUUAACCGCAAAAUAUUCAUUUAGGACAAUAGGCCGAUAAUCAUGCCAACCAAUAUUGGUCCAAAAAUAUAUGCCACCAAUUAUGGCCACCAAAAUUGGUACAAACUCCUUGAACGUUAUCAAGACCUAAUAAAAGCCAUCGAUUAUGGCACCCAAUAAAUAUUCAUAAAUAUUAAUAAAUUAACAAAUUUAAUAUGCCAAUUAAGCGGAAUAAAUGCACAUAAACACUUACCAAACACACAAUUUUUCAAAAACAUGAAUGGAAUCAAUUAAUCCCUAAUUAGGGUAGAGAAAAUUCAAAUUCCAAAUCUGAGCAAAAAAAGAGUCAACUUGCCAUAUAUAAUACAAUAAAGAUCUACAAUUACUAAAAUCCACCUAUUCAAAAAUCAAAACUUAAAACUAAAUUAUGCACCAAAAUUAGUCAAUCAGAAUAAUCAACUCGCACUAAUUAGUCACCCCUACACCACCUCCAAAAAUCCGACCAUGAAUAGCAAGCCAGACCAAGACUAGGCAAAACGAAAAUAACAUGUCAUCAAAUUAAUAAAUCGAGCAAUUCAAAAUACAGACAAAAACUCAGCCUAGACACAGACUAGAUACCAGCUCGGCAUAAACACAAGCAAAAAUCAAGCAAGCAGCAGCAAUCAAAAACGUAAACCAGAAUCUGAACUCAAUAAUCGACUCCUAUCGAGUCAACUGAAGGAAAAACUAAACAUAAUGACUCAAUGAUGCAACUCGGUCACGGAAAAAUCGGUGACUCCAAAAUAAAUGAUACCAGAAUCAGACCACAAAACUAAACAGAGAAGCAUAAACUCAUCUUCUUUUCUUAGUGAUCAACUCAUUUAAACAAAAAAAGAAAAACGACUUACUUGUACCGUGGCCUCAAAACUCACGGACUUACCCGUAUUCACCUUCAAAGGGCAAAACAGUUGCACGACAUCAUUUUGAUGAUUUCAUCUCUGACUCAUCGGGUUUACUCACUGAGUUGGCUCCGAAUAAUUAGCUUUCCCCAGACUAGCCCAUGGAAAAUCCGACGAGCAACAAAAACGUACCAGAAGAUUUCAAUAUGACUGCUACUCAAUAGUCCCUGGUAUUGAAACUAUAAAAAAGACAGUCUCAAUAUACACAAUCUUAUGUUGAGCAAAACCAUGACUUUUUCCCCAAAAAAUAUGAAUAAGAAACUAAGAUAGGGUUUAUAUAUGUGUAUAAAAUUUUUUUGGGGCUUGUUGUUUAAUAGUUGGUAUAGGUUAAUUCAGGUUGAAAUUUGGGGAUUGUUGUGGUUUGGAAUUGAUGGGCGAUGCUGGUGGUGGUGGCUGGCCGGUGCUGCGACGGCAACGCCGACGGGCUUCGGCGGCGACUGGAACGGGGGAGAAGAGGGAGAUGGCAGAGGAGAGAGAGAUGGGAGUUAAAAAUGUUGUUUAUUUAUAAAUGUAGAUCGUUCUCUCUUUCCAAAAGUAGUUGGGUUGUCUAAUUACUUUUGUUACCCUUAUUUAAUAUCAUAAGUCAAGAGAAAAAAGGAGGAGAGACAUCAAACGAGGGCAAAGAUGAAGAAAAAAAGAGUUAAUAUAUGUUUUAAUGUAAUAAUGUGUGAAAAAACCUUAAACAGCCUAUAAAACAACACAGGGAGUAUAAUCUUUGGACUGAAAAUAACAACUUUCACCGUGCCAAGAACCCAACUAUUGGCCCCAUAAAUGACUAAUGAUUGAACCCUCG